This 73-nucleotide transfer RNA is filed under the name Bacteroidia bacterium. Its description in RNAcentral is "tRNA-Arg". It matches the Rfam family "tRNA". From Rfam's summary of the family: Transfer RNA (tRNA) molecules are approximately 80 nucleotides in length. Their secondary structure includes four short double-helical elements and three loops (D, anti-codon, and T loops). Lineage: Bacteria; Pseudomonadati; Bacteroidota; Bacteroidia. The record is from RNAcentral.
GUGCGCGUAGCUCAGUUGGAAGAGCAACAGCCUUCUAAGCUGUAGGUCACAGGUUCAAGUCCUGUCGCGCACA